GAGGUGUCCUUGGCAACUCCUCCAGACCAUCAUCCCCGCAGGGCAGAGUCUCGGCAGAGGUGUCCUUGGCAACUCCUCCAGACCAUCAUCCCCGCAGGGCAGAGUCUCGGCAGAGGUGUCCUUGGCAACUCCUCCAGACCAUCAUCCCCUCAGGGCAGAGUCUCGGCAGAGGUGUCCUUGGCAACUCCUCCAGACCAUCAUCCCCUCAGGGCAGAGUCUCGGCAGAGGUGUGCUUGGCAACUCCUCCAGACCAUCAUCCCCUCAGGGCAGAGUCUCGGCAGAGGUGUGCUUGGCAACUCCUCCAGACCAUCAUCCCCUCAGGCAGACUCAGGCCCAGAACAGCCCCUGGACAGUCAGUGCCCCUUCCCUGUGGGGCUGCUCCCUAUUCAGAACAGAGUGGAAAGGCAACAUCCACUCCUCACACCUUCAUCACCUGCAAUGCUGGCUAAGGCUAGGGUUUUCCAUUCCAGCCCCGCUUGGCCCUUCCAUGCUGAGUUUGUGAUGGGAGGGACAGCAAGGUAUCUGGUUAGCUUCAGGUUUGCCUUUUUACAGAGAGUCAGGGGUUAAUUGCUGAUAUCUCUGUGU
Caretta caretta (loggerhead turtle) is the source of this 585-nucleotide non-coding RNA. Lineage: Eukaryota; Metazoa; Chordata; Testudines; Cheloniidae. The record is from RefSeq and is a predicted model, not a curated record.